RNAcentral lists this ribosomal RNA (421 nucleotides) under uncultured bacterium. Its description in RNAcentral is "bacterial SSU rRNA". It matches the Rfam family "Bacterial small subunit ribosomal RNA", at positions 30 to 463 of the family's 1533-position model. The record is from RNAcentral.
AUUGAACGCUGGCGGCAGGCUUAACACAUGCAAGUCGAGCGGAGCCUUCGGGCUUAGCGGCGAACGGGUGAGGAAUGCCUGGGAAUCUGCCUGUUAGUGGGGGAUAACGUUCCGAAAGGAACGCUAAUACCGCAUACGUCCUACGGGAGAAAGCAGGGGACCUUCGGGCCUUGCGCUAACAGAUGAGCCCAGGUCGGAUUAGCUAGUUGGUGGGGUAAAGGCUCACCAAGGCGACGAUCCGUAGCUGGUCUGAGAGGAUGAUCAGCCACACUGGAACUGAGACACGGUCCAGACUCCUACGGGAGGCAGCAGUGGGGAAUAUUGGACAAUGGGGGGAAACCCGUGAUCCAGCCAUGCCGCGUGUGUGAAGAAGGCCUCGGUUGUUAAAGGUACUCUUUCGGUCCGGGAACGGAAAGUACGC